AACGAACGCUGGCGGCAUGCCUAACACAUGCAAGUCGAACGAGACCUUCGGGUCUAGUGGCGCACGGGUGCGUAACGCGUGGGAACCUGCCCUUAGGUUCGGAAUAACUCCCCGAAAGGGGUGCUAAUACCGGAUAAUGUCUUCGGACCAAAGAUUUAUCGCCUUUGGAUGGGCCCGCGUUGGAUUAGCUAGUUGGUAGGGUAAAAGCCUACCAAGGCGACGAUCCAUAGCUGGUCUGAGAGGAUGAUCAGCCACACUGGGACUGAGACACGGCCCAGACUCCUAGGGGAGGCAGCAGGGGGGAAUAUUGGAAAAUGGGCGAAAGCCGGAUCCAGAAAUGCCGGGUGAGUGAUGAAGGCCUUAGGGUUGUAAAGCUCUUUUACCCGGGAUGAUAAGGACAGUACCGGGAGAAUAAGCCCCGGCUAACUCCGU
RNAcentral lists this ribosomal RNA (432 nucleotides) under uncultured bacterium. RNAcentral describes it as "partial 16S ribosomal RNA". It matches the Rfam family "Bacterial small subunit ribosomal RNA", at positions 29 to 506 of the family's 1533-position model. The record is from RNAcentral.